Daucus carota subsp. sativus is the source of this 479-nucleotide RNA transcript. RefSeq lists it as uncharacterized. The transcript is spliced from 2 exons. The record is from RefSeq and is a predicted model, not a curated record. NCBI's taxonomy places the organism in Eukaryota, Viridiplantae, Streptophyta, Magnoliopsida, Apiales, Apiaceae.
CACAAUACACAUAGCUCCUCACUCUCACACUGACUAGUGACUACAACAACUAUAUCACUUAUAAAUCCCGUCUCUCUAGCACACAUUUCUCUUCCAUGGCCUUCUUACACCGCCGUCUUAUAUCUUCGGCUGCUCUCCUUUUCCUCAUUUUCGCCUCCUCCGCCGCCGCAACACGGACCCCAACUCACCGUAAACUCGGCGGACAAGAUUCGAGCGGGUCACUCGAGAUUCUGGAACGAGUGAUGAUAACUCGACGGCGACUCAGUGGACUAGGAUCAUGGCCACCUUCUUGUAGAUCCAAAUGCGAAAGCUGCUCGCCAUGUAAUCCGGUCCAUGUACCGGUUCACCCCGGUUUUACUAUCCCAUUAGAGUAUUAUCCCGAAGCUUGGCGUUGCAAGUGUAGAAAUAAAACGUACAAGCCUUAAAUUAAUUUGUAUUUCGAAAUGAAAUUAAUUUAUAUAUAUGUGUAGUUCAGCUAA